Molecule: ribosomal RNA, 501 nt
Filed under: uncultured bacterium
Lineage: Bacteria
Description: partial 16S ribosomal RNA
Rfam family: Bacterial small subunit ribosomal RNA
Source: RNAcentral
AUUGAACGCUGGCGGCAGGCUUAACACAUGCAAGUCGAGCGGGGGAAGGUAGCUUGCUACUGGACCUAGCGGCGGACGGGUGAGUAAUGCUUAGGAAUCUGCCUAUUAGUGGGGGACAACAUCUCGAAAGGGAUGCUAAUACCGCAUACGUCCUACGGGAGAAAGCAGGGGAUCUUCGGACCUUGCGCUAAUAGAUGAGCCUAAGUCGGAUUAGCUAGUUGGUGGGGUAAAGGCCUACCAAGGCGACGAUCUGUAGCGGGUCUGAGAGGAUGAUCCGGCACACUGGGACUGAGACACGGCCCAGACUCCUACGGGAGGCAGCAUUGGGGAAUAUUGGACAAUGGGGGGAACCCUGAUCCAGCCACGCCGCGUGUGUGAAGAAGGCCUUAUGGUUGUAAAGCACUUUAAGCGAGGAGGAGGCUACUCUAGUUAAUACCUAGGGAUAGUGGACGUUACUCGCAGAAUAAGCACCGGCUAACUCUGUGCCAGCCGCCGCGGUAA